CUUGCUCUGUGGGAUCAGUGGCGAACGGGUGAGUAACACGUGAGCAACCUGCCCCUGACUCUGGGAUAAGCGCUGGAAACGGCGUCUAAUACUGGAUACGAACCACGAAGGCAUCUUCAGUGGUUGGAAAGAUUUAUUGGUUGGGGAUGGGCUCGCGGCCUAUCAGCUUGUUGGUGAGGUAAUGGCUCACCAAGGCGUCGACGGGUAGCCGGCCUGAGAGGGUGACCGGCCACACUGGGACUGAGACACGGCCCAGACUCCUACGGGAGGCAGCAGUGGGGAAUAUUGCACAAUGGGCGCAAGCCUGAUGCAGCAACGCCGCGUGAGGGAUGACGGCCUUCGGGUUGUAAACCUCUUUUAGCAGGGAAGAAGCGAAAGUGACGGUACCUGCAGAAAAAGCGCCGGCUAACUACGUGCCAGCAGCCGCGGUAAUACGUAGGGCGCAAGCGUUAUCCGGAAUUAUUGGGCGUAAAGAGCUCGUAGGCGGUUUGUCGCGUCUGCUGUGAAAUCCGGAGGCUCAACCUCCGGCCUGCAGUGGGUACGGGCAGACUAGAGUGCGGUAGGGGAGAUUGGAAUUCCUGGUGUAGCGGUGGAAUGCGCAGAUAUCAGGAGGAACACCGAUGGCGAAGGCAGAUCUCUGGGCCGUAACUGACGCUGAGGAGCGAAAGGGUGGGGAGCAAACAGGCUUAGAUACCCUGGUAGUCCACCCCGUAAACGUUGGGAACUAGUUGUGGGGUCCAUUCCACGGAUUCCGUGACGCAGCUAACGCAUUAAGUUCCCCGCCUGGGGAGUACGGCCGCAAGGCUAAAACUCAAAGGAAUUGACGGGGACCCGCACAAGCGGCGGAGCAUGCGGAUUAAUUCGAUGCAACGCGAAGAACCUUACCAAGGCUUGACAUAUACGAGAACGGGCC
This 913-nucleotide ribosomal RNA is filed under the name Microbacterium hydrocarbonoxydans. RNAcentral's name for it is "bacterial SSU rRNA". It matches the Rfam family "Bacterial small subunit ribosomal RNA", at positions 79 to 1002 of the family's 1533-position model. Lineage: Bacteria; Bacillati; Actinomycetota; Actinomycetes; Micrococcales; Microbacteriaceae. The record is from RNAcentral.